CAAGUCGAACGGAUCCUUCGGGAUUAGUGGCAGACGGGUGAGUAACGCGUGGGAAGCUACCUUGUGGUAGGGGACAACAGUUGGAAACGACUGCUAAUACCCUAUGAGCCCUAUGGGGGAAAGAUUUAUCGCCAUGAGAUGUGCCCGCGUUAGAUUAGCUAGUUGGUAAGGUAAUGGCUUACCAAGGCGACGAUCUAUAGCUGGUCUGAGAGGAUGAUCAGCCACACUGGGACUGAGACACGGCCCAGACUCCUACGGGAGGCAGCAGUGGGGAAUAUUGGACAAUGGGGGCAACCCUGAUCCAGCCAUGCCGCGUGUGUGAUGACGGCCUUAGGGUUGUAAAGCACUUUCAGCAGUGAAGAUAAUGACAUUAACUGCAGAAGAAGCCCCGGCUAACUUCGUGCCAGCAGCCGCGGUAAUACGAAGGGGGCUAGCGUUGUUCGGAAUCACUGGGCGUAAAGAGUACGUAGGCGGACUGAUAAGUUAGGGGUGAAAUCCCAAGGCUCAACCUUGGAACUGCCUUUGAUACUGUCAGUCUUGAGAUCGAGAGAGGUGAGUGGAACUCCGAGUGUAGAGGUGAAAUUCGUAGAUAUUCGGAAGAACACCAGUGGCGAAGGCGGCUCACUGGCUCGAUACUGACGCUGAGGUACGAAAGCGUGGGGAGCAAACAGGAUUAGAUACCC
Molecule: ribosomal RNA, 683 nt
Filed under: Pseudovibrio sp. AU270
Lineage: Bacteria; Pseudomonadati; Pseudomonadota; Alphaproteobacteria; Hyphomicrobiales; Stappiaceae
Description: bacterial SSU rRNA
Rfam family: Bacterial small subunit ribosomal RNA
Source: RNAcentral